CGCUGCAAACCAUACCUUCUACUUAGAUGUUCCUAAGGAUAAAAGGGUCAGAUAAAUAUCAUGGGGAGGAUACUACUACACACAGAUGUUUCUCUUCGGUGGGAAGACACCUUCUACGAACAGAGCACAUGGGCUCUGACUGAAUGGACUUGGUACAACAAAUUAUAUUGCAGACUAUCUGACUUAGGUGGAAACCAACCUGGGCAAAAGAACAGCAAAGAUCCACCUGCUCUGCACAGUACCAGCUCUACAGAGACUUCUAAGAUUCUGAGGAAUGAUAUCCUGCCCUCCCCUAAGGUUUUGUUGAUUCCCAAGAAUUGAACCCCAUCUUCUUAUCACACCUCUCCCCUUCAUCUCUUCAGGCCCUGAUCACUAGGAAAA
Long non-coding RNA from Triplophysa dalaica, 381 nucleotides. RefSeq lists it as uncharacterized. The transcript is spliced from 2 exons. The record is from RefSeq and is a predicted model, not a curated record. Lineage: Eukaryota; Metazoa; Chordata; Actinopteri; Cypriniformes; Nemacheilidae.